This 573-nucleotide ribosomal RNA is filed under the name uncultured archaeon. RNAcentral's name for it is "bacterial SSU rRNA". It matches the Rfam family "Archaeal small subunit ribosomal RNA", at positions 25 to 603 of the family's 1478-position model. The record is from RNAcentral.
UACUGCUAUCGAGGUUCGACUAAGCCAUGCGAGUCGAAUGUAGCAAUACAUGGCGAACUGCUCAGUAACACGUGGACAACCUGCCCUUAGGUUGGGUAUAAACCCGGGAAACUGGGUAUAAUACCCGAUAGGUCUCGAUUGCUGGAAUGCAUCGAGAUUUAAAGCUCCGGCGCCUAAGGAUGGGUCUGCGGCCUAUCAGGUAGUAGUGGGUGUAGCGUACCUACUAGCCUACGACGGGUACGGGUUGUGAGAGCAAGAGCCCGGAGAUGGAUUCUGAGACACGAAUCCAGGCCCUACGGGGUGCAGCAGGCGCGAAAACUUUACAAUGCUGGCAACAGCGAUAAGGGAACCUCGAGUGCCAGGUUACAAAUCUGGCUGUCGAGAUGCCUAAAAAGCAUUUCAUAGCAAGGGCCGGGCAAGACCGGUGCCAGCCGCCGCGGUAACACCGGCGGCUCGAGUGGUAACCGUUAUUAUUGGGUCUAAAGGGUCUGUAGCCGGCCGGAUAAGUCUCUUGAGAAAUCUGGCAGCUUAACUGUCAGGCUUUCAGGAGAUACUGUCUGGCUCGAGGCCGGG